AGAUUGGCUGGGCAUAUUAAAAACUUCUAAUUUUUAUUCGGGGGUUCGAUUCUUCCACAAUCUU
This 64-nucleotide transfer RNA is filed under the name Drawida japonica. RNAcentral describes it as "tRNA-Ser". Lineage: Eukaryota; Metazoa; Annelida; Clitellata; Moniligastrida; Moniligastridae. The record is from RNAcentral.